RNAcentral lists this ribosomal RNA (460 nucleotides) under uncultured bacterium. RNAcentral's name for it is "partial 16S ribosomal RNA". It matches the Rfam family "Bacterial small subunit ribosomal RNA", at positions 338 to 795 of the family's 1533-position model. The record is from RNAcentral.
CCUACGGGAGGCUGCAGUGAGGAAUAUUGGUCAAUGGGCGCGAGCCUGAACCAGCCAAGUAGCGUGAAGGAUGACUGCCCUACGGGUUGUAAACUUCUUUUAUAAAGGAAUAAAGUGAGGCACGUGUGCCUUAUUGUAUGUACUUUAUGAAUAAGGAUAGGUUAACUCCGUGCCAGCAGCCGCGGUAAUACGGAGGAUACGAGCGUUAUCCGGAUUUAUUGGGUUUAAAGGGAGCGUAGAUGGGUUGUUAAGUCAGUUGUGAAAGUUUGCGGCUCAACCGUAAAAUUGCAAUUGAUACUGGCAGUCUUGAGUACAGUUGAGGUAGGCGGAAUUCGUGGUGUAGCGGUGAAAUGCUUAGAUAUCACGAAGAACUCCGAUUGCGAAGGCAGCUUACUAAACUGCCACUGACAUUGAUGCUCGAAAGUGUGGGUAUCAAACAGGAUUAGAUACCCGAGUAGUC